GUGAGUCAUCGAAUCUUUGAACGCACAUUGCGCCCGCCAGUAUUCUGGCGGGCAUGCCUGUUCGAGCGUCAUUACAACCCUCAAGCUCAGCUUGGUGUUGGGGACCUACGGCUCGCCGUAGGCCCCGAAAUUCAGUGGCGGGCUCGCCGUAGACCCGAGCGCAGUAGUAACAUCUCGCUUGCGGAUUACCGGUGGGUGCUUGCCGUGAAACCCCCAACUUUAAGACGUUUGACCUCGGAUCAGGUAGGAAUACCCGCUGAACUUAAGCAUAUCAAUAAGCGGAGGA
This 286-nucleotide unclassified non-coding RNA is filed under the name Vermiculariopsiella sp. Its description in RNAcentral is "partial contains 5.8S ribosomal RNA, internal transcribed spacer 2, and large subunit ribosomal RNA". The stretch from base 1 to 71 matches the Rfam family "5.8S ribosomal RNA", at positions 84 to 154 of the family's 154-position model. The record is from RNAcentral. Lineage: Eukaryota; Fungi; Ascomycota; Sordariomycetes; Vermiculariopsiellales; Vermiculariopsiellaceae.